Bacillus rossius redtenbacheri is the source of this 2994-nucleotide RNA transcript. It is a transcript of the gene named nucleoporin Nup43, with no coding region annotated. The transcript is spliced from 8 exons. The record is from RefSeq and is a predicted model, not a curated record. Lineage: Eukaryota; Metazoa; Arthropoda; Insecta; Phasmatodea; Bacillidae.
GGAUGGAUUUCCCUCGGUUUUUUUUGAAGUUUUUUUGACCAUAUUUGUUUUGAAUUUAGCCGCUAUUAUAUUCAAUAAAUUUAAAUGGGCGAAGUUGACAAACUGUGUGCGCUUUUCGUAGGAGAAAAAGUUUUUAAAGUCAGAUGGAGGCCAGAAAACAUCGUUGGCCUUGAUUCACAAUAUUUUAUCACAGGGAGUUGGGAUUUUACGGAGAAUUUUCUAACAGUAUGGAAACACUCUUCAGACAUGGAUGAUCCUCAGCAGCUGAGUUCAAUACCUCACGAAGGAGAUGUUACCGAACUGAAGUUUAUAAAUGACAAUGCAUGUGUUGCAUCUUCAUCGCUGGGGUGUGUCAAGCUGUUCAGCCUAGAUGUUACCGAGGAGAACUCAGCACAGCUGAAGGAACAUACUACAUGGGAAAAAUUGCAUUCAAUUAGGUGCAUGACAGAGUGCCCAUGCACUGGGCUUGCAUGCUUUGAAGAGGAUAUUGUCACCAUCAGUGAGGAUGGGACACUGGCUCUUCUCACUGCCAAGAGGGCAAUACCCGUUCAGAAAAUUGAUAAUGCAGAUGCGGUGUCACUGAGCUGCAUCUGCUUCCUGAAGCACAACCAGGUGCUGACAGGCAACCGAGUGGGCGGCAUGAAGAUCUGGGACUUCGCAGGAGCCUCGCAGGCGCCGGCGGCCAUGUUCUCGCUGUCCAGCGGUCAGGUGGGAGCGAGCUGCGUGGCACAUCACCCCACGCAGAGCCACAUAGUGUUCUGCGGCGGGGAGGACGGCUCCGUGACUGUGUGGGACCUGCGGCAGAACACCUUCCCCGUCAACGUGCUGAAGGCCCACGACGGCACAGUUACAGAGCUCCAGUUUCACCCAGAAAGACCAGUUCACAUGUUUACAUCGUCGACGUCUGGUGAGAUAUGGAACUGGGACAUGUCCAACCUGACGGGCCGGCCAGGUGAGGGGUUUCAGACGGGUUUAUCUUGCUACAAGAAUUAGGAUGUGGCAAGUAGGAAAAGAUUUUCAAGGUCAUUUCAAUCAUUACUUGUUAUGGAAUACAGUUUUGUAUGAAAUAGGUUUUAUAAUAAACUGGCUAAUGCCUGGCAUGCAUUGCUAUGCCUCGUUCAAUUUUUUUUGUAAUCUGUUUGAAGUAGGUACAUUUAUACAGAGCAUCUUCCUCUAUAUCUCUCUACAUCACACUAUAAAUCUCAUUAAUUUUCUAUAUAUAUUAGGCAUGUGCGAAGCUUCGAUAGUACAAUCAAAUUUGAAGUUUUUUUAAUAUUCAAUAAUACUUCGAAACAAAAUUAACUAUUCGCAUUAAACAAAGCUUUGUAUCAUUCAAGUCUUUAAGUCGCACGUGCGAUUUAUUUUCUGUUUGGAAGAUUAACCUCUCGCACGAGUGUGACUUCAUAAUCGAUUAAUCUAAAGAGUUACUUAACCUAUUGCAGCAUUGUGUCGCCUACCGAAUUUAUUAAUUUCGUCUAACGAAAAUAUAAUAUAAAUAUAAUGUAAUAAAGGCGCAGAGUGAUCAUCAUAAUCUAAAGAAAUACCGUCAAAAAGAAGAAAAAAACGUAGUGCAAUAUGGAAUUUUUUCACAGAUGUUGGCGAUUGUUCCGCACAAUGCGAUAAAUGCAAACAAUUGUUCAAAUGCCCACGUGGUAGGUUAUGUCACAAUGAAAAUUGUAUUGUUUUGAUAAUUUGUAGGUAGUACAUAGCGAUACAAUUUAUUAUAUGUGUGGUAGUAACUGUUCUCCAAUUGUAAUGCAAUCUCCAGCGGUAAAAAAGACAAAGCAAAGCACAAUUCUGUCACGUUACGACCACUCUUGAAAUUUUAUUUUUUUGUUUGUUUUAUUAUGCUUUCAAACUAAAAAUGUUUCAUGUUGAUUACUUUUAGACAAGAUUUUCAUAGUAACAUUCAUAAUAACGGUUUCGCGGGGAUUUUUGAAGCCAUGAUGAAGUAAUUUGCUACAAAAGAGUGUUAAUGUGUGUGUGGUAGAUUGAUAUUGUUUAGAUAGCAAAUUUUUAAAUUUUACUAUCUUUCUACAAUACCAAAUUUUCCCCAAAGUAAGUAUCGCAAUUAUUGCUAGUUUUUAGUUGUUUUGAGUAGUAUUUUGAUGUGGAUGAGAAAAUAGCAAAUAUUAUUAGACUUUAGUGAUCUGUGGAAUAAAUAAUUAUUAUUCUAGUUUUAGUAUUUUUCUUAUACGGUUAGAGCUAAUCCAAAAAAUUAAAAAUACAGAAAAUGGUAUUUUUGAGUAGGCUACUGUUUGUCCUAGAACCCACAAAUAAGUAUUUUUGAUGUUGCUAACCUAACCUAACCUAACUAACCAACCUCAUCAACCUAUCUUGGCUAGGUUAGCCUCGUAAAGGAUAUAACAGAGAAGCGUCUGAGACCUUGGGCUCAAUGGCAUAGUGUUCUGUGAGUGUAGGGAGAUAAUUGGAGGAGAAAUCAUGUGCGGACUGGUUCAUCACUUAGCUCUUACAACCGAUGUACUAAAGCAAAAAAAAACAAUGAUCUAUUAAAUAAUGAAAGGCACUAAUUUUGAUAUUGUAAUUGAGUAUUUUAAGUUAGCAACAUUUGCAUACAACACACAUAGAUAAGCUUGGGGGCACCCCAAGACAAAAAAGGUUAAAACAUAACUUGUUGUACCAUAGUGGCAAUUACAAUUAAUUAGAAGUGAACAAAAGAAUUACAUCAUUUCAUACAAAUGUUUAUAAGUAAAAAUUUAUUCUUUAGGUUGAUAAUAUAAAAAAGGUCCUUUCAUUGGAUAGGUUAGAAUUUUUAUGCGAUGAUAGAUAUGUAGAAGUCCAACAAGGAAAGUUCAUGCGCAAACAUGCUUCAAACUGAAAGAAAAUUAUAGUAGUGACUUUCCUGAAAUUGCAGGCAGCAUCCUGAGACCGUAAGUGGAGGAGAAAGACUCAAUCCCGUCCCGGUACUUAAUAGACUUAAUCAAGCAUGGGCCCGGAUGUCUCACGCCACACAAGGACCGCUAAAAGAAAUUG